CUUUACCCGGCUUGGAACUUAAGCAUAUCAAUAAGCGGAGGAAAAGAAACCAACAGGGAUUGCCUUAGUAACUGCGAGUGAAGCGGCAAAAGCUCAAAUUUGAAAUCUGUGCCCUCAAGGGCACCGAGUUGUAACCUUGAGAUACGUUUUCGACCGACAGGCCUGCCUUAAGUUCCUUGGAACAGGACGUCACAGAGGGUGAGAAUCCCGUGAACGGUAGGCCUCGAGGCGCAUGAUACGUAUUCGACGAGUCGAGUUGUUUGGGAAUGCAGCUCAAAGUGGGUGGUAAAUUUCAUCUAAAGCUAAAUAUUGGGGAGAGACCGAUAGCGCACAAGUAGAGUGAUCGAAAGAUGAAAAGCACUUUGAAAAGAGAGUUAAAAAGUACGUGAAAUUGUUGAAAGGGAAGCGCUUGAGACCAGACUCAAUCUCCGUUGAUCAACUUCAGUUCUCUGUUGUGCACUCGGCGGCUUUUGGGACAGCAUCGGUUCCCGCGGAGGGACAAAGCCUCAGGAAAUGUGGCACCCUUCGGGGUGUGUUAUAGUCCUCUGGGCAAUGCCUCCAGCGGGGACCGAGGACCGCGCUCCGGCUAGGAUGCUGUCAUAAUGGUCUCCAGCGACCCGUCUUGAAACACGGACCAAGGAGUCUAACAUCUAUGCGAGUGUUCGGGUGGAAAACCCUUGCGCGUAAUGAAAGGAACGAGGAA
This 703-nucleotide ribosomal RNA is filed under the name Tarzetta cupularis. RNAcentral's name for it is "partial large subunit ribosomal RNA". It matches the Rfam family "Eukaryotic large subunit ribosomal RNA", at positions 21 to 737 of the family's 3401-position model. Lineage: Eukaryota; Fungi; Ascomycota; Pezizomycetes; Pezizales; Tarzettaceae. The record is from RNAcentral.